This 1029-nucleotide ribosomal RNA is filed under the name Leptographium globosum. RNAcentral's name for it is "SSU rRNA". It matches the Rfam family "Eukaryotic small subunit ribosomal RNA", at positions 74 to 1112 of the family's 1831-position model. The record is from RNAcentral. Lineage: Eukaryota; Fungi; Ascomycota; Sordariomycetes; Ophiostomatales; Ophiostomataceae.
UUAUACCGCGAAACUGCGAAUGGCUCAUUAAAUCAGUUAUCGUCUAUUUGAUAGUACCUUACUACUUGGAUAACCGUGGUAAUUCUAGAGCUAAUACAUGCUGAAAACCCCGACUUCGGAAGGGAUGUAUUUAUUAGAUUAAAAACCAAUGCCCUCCGGGGCUCCCUGGUGAUUCAUAAUAACUGCUCGAAUCGCACGGCCUUGCGCCGGCGAUGGUUCAUUCAAAUCUCUGCCCUAUCAACUUUCGACGGCUGGGUCUUGGCCAGCCAUGGUGACAACGGGUAACGGAGGGUUAGGGCUCGACCCCGGAGAAGGAGCCUGAGAAACGGCUACUACAUCCAAGGAAGGCAGCAGGCGCGCAAAUUACCCAAUCCCGACACGGGGAGGUAGUGACAAUAAAUACUGAUACAGGGCUCUUUUGGGUCUUGUAAUUGGAAUGAGUACAAUUUAAUUCCCUUAACGAGGAACAAUUGGAGGGCAAGUCUGGUGCCAGCAGCCGCGGUAAUUCCAGCUCCAAUAGCGUAUAUUAAAGUUGUUGCAGUUAAAAAGCUCGUAGUUGAACCUUGGGCCUGGCUGGCCGGUCCGCCUCACCGCGUGCACUGGUCCGGCCGGGCCUUUCCCUCUGGGGAGCCGCAUGCCCUUCGCUGGGCGUGUCGGGGAACCAGGACUUUUACUUUGAAAAAAUUAGAGUGUUCAAAGCAGGCUUAUGCUCGGAUACAUUAGCAUGGAAUAAUAGAAUAGGACGCGCGGUUCUAUUUUGUUGGUUUCUAGGACCGCCGUAAUGAUUAAUAGGGACAGUCGGGGGCAUCAGUAUUCAGUUGUCAGAGGUGAAAUUCUUGGAUCUACUGAAGACUAACUACUGCGAAAGCAUUUGCCAAGGAUGUUUUCAUUAAUCAGGAACGAAAGUUAGGGGAUCGAAGACGAUCAGAUACCGUCGUAGUCUUAACCAUAAACUAUGCCGACUAGGGAUCGGACGGUGUUAUUUUUUGACCCGUUCGGCACCUUACACGAAAGUACAAGUUUCUGGGU